RNAcentral lists this ribosomal RNA (253 nucleotides) under uncultured bacterium. RNAcentral's name for it is "partial 16S ribosomal RNA". It matches the Rfam family "Bacterial small subunit ribosomal RNA", at positions 524 to 776 of the family's 1533-position model. The record is from RNAcentral.
UACAGAGGGUGCAAGCGUUAAUCGGAAUUACUGGGCGUAAAGCGCGCGUAGGCGGCUAUGUAAGUAGGCUGUGAAAGCCCCGGGCUCAACCUGGGAAUGGCAGUCUAGACUGCAUGGCUAGAAAUAGGCAGAGGAAGGUGGAAUUUCUGGUGUAGCGGUGAAAUGCGUAGAGAUCAGAAAGAACAUCAGUGGCGAAGGCGACCUUCUGGGCUAUAUUUGACGCUGAGGUGCGAAAGCGUGGGGAGCAAACAGG